GACAGCAUGAAAGAAAUUGGUAGCAAUUGCCUGAAUAAUGAAUUUAACUUUUUUAAAAGACAUAUCUGUGAUGCUAAUAAGGAAGGUAUGUUUUUAUUCCGUGCUGCUCGCAAGUUGAGGCAAUUUCUUAAAAUGAAUAGCACUGGUGAUUUUGAUCUCCACUUAUUAAAAGUUUCAGAAGGCACAACAAUACUGUUGAACUGCACUGGCCAGGUUAAAGGAAGAAAACCAGCUGCCCUGGGUGAAGCCCAACCAACAAAGAGUUUGUCCUCAGGACUACAGAAGCAGUUCACAUUUUACAGAUCAAAUGGACCACACACACAUUCUUUCCACUGCAAAUUGUCCUUUCUCCACUAGAAGGUAUCAGUUUCUCCAAAUAAAUUGUAUCAACUUGAGGGCAGACACUUAAUUACAUCUUAUUAUCUCGAUCCCCAUCAUUGCAUAUCCAGAAAGAGCACAUAAAGCGUUUUUCAAUGCUUAUUUUAGUUGAUGGACUAUUUGUUUCUUUGUUUUGACCAAUAAAACUGAAUAAAGAUAACUGAGGGGAAAAAAAUUAACAACUAAUCAGGAAAUAAACUUUUUUCAGAUUUAUGAAAUAAUUUGUUGACAUGCUCUACAGGAGUGACCUUAACAUACCUAAUGGUAACUAAAACCGCUCUCUUUCAUUACAAAAUUCCCAGCAUCUAUCCUACUAUGAUACUAUUUGAAGAUAGGCACCAAU
Molecule: small RNA, 721 nt
Filed under: Pan troglodytes (chimpanzee)
Lineage: Eukaryota; Metazoa; Chordata; Mammalia; Primates; Hominidae
Description: processed transcript
Source: RNAcentral